AUAAACUCAGUUAUUAAUUUAUGCUUAAAUCAUAUAUCCUUAGCUACAAGGUGCUCAUGACAGAUAAAGCAGCCUUCCCACCACCUAAUGGGACUGAGUUUGCAAAGACUCAAGAUUUCUCUGAACAAUAAAACAAAUAAUAUUAUUGCUUGCCUCUCUCAAAUAAUAUUAUUGCUUGCCUCUCUUAUGUUCUUUAGCUUCUAUUCUACUGUACAAUACUUUGGCUGAUCAAAAAGUUUAGANNNNNNAAAACCCCAAACGGUGCCAUACAAUGAUCUGAAACAACAAAUAGGAACUGCAGCAUGGAAGGAAAUUAAUCCUAUGAUCGACAACAAUCUGAACUCCUUGCUCCCAAUUCUGGCUCUCUUCCAGGGACAACAAUCUUCGUUCCCUUGAGAAGUGAAGCAUUUCCUCCACUUCCAUGUUCGUCAUUUGCAACAAGGCUCUUCUUGCUGACAGUUCGAUAAAUCUCUGUCAGGACAGAAAGGAAAGCCGAUUCAACAUUAGUGGACUCAAGGGCUGACGUCUCCAUGAAGAAGAGGUUUUCCUUUUGGGCAAAUUCUUUGGCAUCCUCAGUUGGCACAGCUCGAAGGGUCUCCAGAUCAGACUUGUUACCUACAAGCAUGAUGAUGGUGUUAUUAUCAGCAUGCUCCCGCAAUUCCUCUAACCACUUUGCUAUAUGAUCAAACGACUGACGC
RNAcentral lists this unclassified non-coding RNA (698 nucleotides) under Hevea brasiliensis (rubber tree). Lineage: Eukaryota; Viridiplantae; Streptophyta; Magnoliopsida; Malpighiales; Euphorbiaceae. The record is from RNAcentral.